RNAcentral lists this ribosomal RNA (432 nucleotides) under uncultured bacterium. Its description in RNAcentral is "partial 16S ribosomal RNA". It matches the Rfam family "Bacterial small subunit ribosomal RNA", at positions 29 to 506 of the family's 1533-position model. The record is from RNAcentral.
AACGAGCGCUGGCGGCAUGCCUAACACAUGCAAGUCGAACGAGACCUUCGGGUCUAGUGGCGCACGGGUGCGUAACGCGUGGGAACCUGCCCUUAGGUUCGGAAUAACUCCCCGAAAGGGGUGCUAAUACCGGAUAAUGUCUUCGGACCAAAGAUUUAUCGCCUUUGGAUGGGCCCGCGUUGGAUUAGCUAGUUGGUAGGGUAAAAGCCUACCAAGGCGACGAUCCAUAGCUGGUCUGAGAGGAUGAUCAGCCACACUGGGACUGAGACACGGCCCAGACUCCGACGGGAGGCAGCGGUGGGGAAUAUUGGACAAUGGGCGAAAGCCUGAUCCAGCAAUGCCGCGUGAGUGAUGAAGGCCUUAGGGUUGUAAAGCUCUUUUACCCGGGAUGAUAAUGACAGUACCGGGAGAAUAAGCUCCGGCUAACUCCGU